AGGAGCUUGCUUCUCUGGAUGAGUUGCGAACGGGUGAGUAACGCGUAGGUAACCUGCCUGGUAGCGGGGGAUAACUAUUGGAAACGAUAGCUAAUACCGCAUAACGUCGCAAGACCAAAGAGGGGGACCUUCGGGCCUCUUGCCAUCGGAUGUGCCCAGAUGGGAUUAGCUAGUAGGUGGGGUAACGGCUCACCUAGGCGACGAUCCCUAGCUGGUCUGAGAGGAUGACCAGCCACACUGGAACUGAGACACGGUCCAGACUCCUACGGGAGGCAGCAGUGGGGAAUAUUGCACAAUGGGCGCAAGCCUGAUGCAGCCAUGCCGCGUGUAUGAAGAAGGCCUUCGGGUUGUAAAGUACUUUCAGCGGGGAGGAAGGGAGUAAAGUUAAUACCUUUGCUCAUUGACGUUACCCGCAGAAGAAGCACCGGCUAACUCCGUGCCAGCAGCCGCGGUAAUACGGAGGGUGCAAGCGUUAAUCGGAAUUACUGGGCGUAAAGCGCACGCAGGCGGUUUGUUAAGUCAGAUGUGAAAUCCCCGGGCUCAACCUGGGAACUGCAUCUGAUACUGGCAAGCUUGAGUCUCGUAGAGGGGGGUAGAAUUCCAGGUGUAGCGGUGAAAUGCGUAGAGAUCUGGAGGAAUACCGGUGGC
RNAcentral lists this ribosomal RNA (648 nucleotides) under uncultured Pseudomonadota bacterium. Its description in RNAcentral is "bacterial SSU rRNA". It matches the Rfam family "Bacterial small subunit ribosomal RNA", at positions 74 to 716 of the family's 1533-position model. Lineage: Bacteria; Pseudomonadati; Pseudomonadota. The record is from RNAcentral.